Molecule: long non-coding RNA, 252 nt
Filed under: Mytilus galloprovincialis (Mediterranean mussel)
Lineage: Eukaryota; Metazoa; Mollusca; Bivalvia; Mytilida; Mytilidae
Source: RNAcentral
AUCCCUGUAGUGUUAGGUACCACCUUAAACAGCUUUCCAAACAACACUUUGGCAUCUUGGGUACUUUCCAGUGAUCUACUUUUUUUAAAACAAAUAUCAAAAGAAUCAACACAACAAAUUGUUAGACAGGCAAUUCUAAUAUUUAUAAUCACUUGGACAAAUCCUUGUUAUGCAUGUAAAUCAUGUACGUGUAUGGGUAUUUCACUUUUGCAAAAAGUGUAUGGCGACAAUUGAAUGAUUUAUUCAUACAGC